UACGAGGGGGGCAAAUGUUGUUCGGAAUCACUGGGCGUAAAGGGUGCGUAGGCGGGUUUUUAAGUCAGGUGUUUAAUCCCGGGGCCCAACCCCGGACAGGCACUUGAAACUGGGAAUCUUGAAUAGUGGAGAGGUCAGUGGAAUUGGGGGUGUAGCGGUGGAAUGCGUAGAGAUCCCCAAGAACACCCGUUGCGAAGGCGGCUGACUGGACACAUAUUGACGCUGAGGCUCGAAAGCAUGGGGAGCAAACAGG
This 253-nucleotide ribosomal RNA is filed under the name uncultured bacterium. Its description in RNAcentral is "partial 16S ribosomal RNA". It matches the Rfam family "Bacterial small subunit ribosomal RNA", at positions 524 to 776 of the family's 1533-position model. The record is from RNAcentral.